GCACUGCUGAUGAGUCCCGUACUAGGACGAAAUGAUCGUCCAGUGC
RNAcentral lists this non-coding RNA (46 nucleotides) under Schistosoma margrebowiei. Lineage: Eukaryota; Metazoa; Platyhelminthes; Trematoda; Strigeidida; Schistosomatidae. The record is from RNAcentral.